UAGCUCAGUUGGUUGGAGCAUGGUGCUGAUAACAUCAAAGUUGCGGGUUUGAUCCCCGU
This 59-nucleotide transfer RNA is filed under the name Apaloderma vittatum (bar-tailed trogon). It matches the Rfam family "tRNA", at positions 8 to 63 of the family's 71-position model. Rfam says of the family: Transfer RNA (tRNA) molecules are approximately 80 nucleotides in length. Their secondary structure includes four short double-helical elements and three loops (D, anti-codon, and T loops). The record is from Rfam by way of RNAcentral. Lineage: Eukaryota; Metazoa; Chordata; Aves; Trogoniformes; Trogonidae.